Molecule: ribosomal RNA, 504 nt
Filed under: uncultured bacterium
Lineage: Bacteria
Description: bacterial SSU rRNA
Rfam family: Bacterial small subunit ribosomal RNA
Source: RNAcentral
AACGAACGCUGGCGGCGUGCUUAACACAUGCAAGUCGAACGAGAAUUUUCCCUUCGGGGAUUUAGUAAAGUGGCGCACGGGUGAGUAACACGUGGGUAACCUGCCUUUCAGUCUGGGAUAACUAUCCGAAAGGAUAGCUAAUACCGGAUGCGAUUUACGUUACAUAAGUAGUGUAGAAGAAAGUGGCGCAAGUCACGCUGAAAGAUGGGCCCGNGGUCCAUUAGCUUGUUGGUGAGGUAACGGCUCACCAAGGCCGCGAUGGAUAGCUGGUCUGAGAGGAUGAUCAGCCACACUGGAACUGAGACACGGUCCAGACUCCUACGGGAGGCAGCAGUGGGGAAUUUUGCGCAAUGGACGAAAGUCUGACGCAGCAACGCCGCGUGUGUGAUGAAGGCCCUAGGGUUGUAAAGCACUGUUGAGAGGGAAGAACAUACAAGGGUAACGCCUUGUCCUGACGGUACCUCUUUAGAAAGCACCGGCUAACUCCGUGCCAGCAGCCGACGG